RNAcentral lists this transfer RNA (71 nucleotides) under Arripis trutta (Australian salmon). RNAcentral's name for it is "tRNA-Leu(CUN)". It matches the Rfam family "tRNA". From Rfam's summary of the family: Transfer RNA (tRNA) molecules are approximately 80 nucleotides in length. Their secondary structure includes four short double-helical elements and three loops (D, anti-codon, and T loops). Lineage: Eukaryota; Metazoa; Chordata; Actinopteri; Scombriformes; Arripidae. The record is from RNAcentral.
ACUUCUAAAGGAUAACAGCAAUCCGCCGGUCUUAGGAACCUGUAACUCUUGGUGCAAAUCCAAGUAGUAGU